GCCGCAUGGCACUGACGGAAAAGAUUUAUCGGUGUGAGAUGGACCCGCGUCUGAUUAGCCAGUUGGCAGGGUAACGGCCUACCAAAGCGACGAUCAGUAGCCGGCCUGAGAGGGUGAACGGCCACAUUGGGACUGAGACACGGCCCAGACUCCUGCGGGAGGCAGCAGNGGGGAAUAUUGCACAAUGGGGGAAACCCUGAUGCAGCGACGCCGCGUGAGUGAAGAAGUAUUUCGGUAUGUAAAGCUCUAUCAGCAGGGAAGAAAAUGACGGUACCUGAUUAAGAAGCCCCGGCUAACUACGUGCCAGCAGCCGCGGUAAUACGUAGGGGGCAAGCGUUAUCCGGAUUUACUGGGUGUAAAGGGAGCGUAGACGGUGAUGCAAGUCAGAAGUGAAAGCCCGGGGCUCAACUCCGGGACUGCUUUUGAAACUGUGUAACUGGAGUGCAGGAGAGGUAAGCGGAAUUCCUGGUGUAGCGGUGAAAUGCGUAGAUAUCAGGAGGAACACCAGUGGCGAAGGCGGCUUACUGGACUGUAACUGACGUUGAGGCUCGAAAGCGUGGAGAGCAAACAGGAUUAGAUACCCUGGUAGUCCACGCCGUAAACGAUGAAUAUUAGGUGUCGGUGAGCAAAGCUCAUCGGUG
RNAcentral lists this ribosomal RNA (641 nucleotides) under uncultured bacterium. RNAcentral describes it as "bacterial SSU rRNA". It matches the Rfam family "Bacterial small subunit ribosomal RNA", at positions 185 to 845 of the family's 1533-position model. The record is from RNAcentral.